CAGCCGUAAACUAUGCGCGUUAGGUGUAUCGGUGACCACGAGUUACCGAGGUGCCGAAGGGAAACCGUGAAACGUGCCGCCUGGGAAGUACGGUCGCAAGGCUGAAACUUAAAGGAUUGGCGGGGAGCACCACAACAGGUGGAGCCUGCGGUUUAAUUGGACUCAACGCCGGGAAGCUCACCGGAUAAGACAGCGGAAUGAUUGCCGGGCUGAAGACUCUGCAUGACUAGCUGAGAGGAGGUGCAUGGCGUAGACGUCU
RNAcentral lists this ribosomal RNA (259 nucleotides) under uncultured archaeon. Its description in RNAcentral is "partial 16S ribosomal RNA". It matches the Rfam family "Archaeal small subunit ribosomal RNA", at positions 748 to 1009 of the family's 1478-position model. The record is from RNAcentral.